RNAcentral lists this long non-coding RNA (612 nucleotides) under Elaeis guineensis (African oil palm). RNAcentral's name for it is "long non-coding RNA (EGUI_LNC024157)". Lineage: Eukaryota; Viridiplantae; Streptophyta; Magnoliopsida; Arecales; Arecaceae. The record is from RNAcentral.
UACGAAUAUCCAUCAAGAUCAAUCUCGAACUGAUUUCUCUACGUAGAAGACUCUUCUUUUUAAGAAGAAUCUGAACCUUGAACACUUUGAUCAACACCUUGAUCUAAACUGCGGGUUCAACUCCUUGAUCAGCAGUCUUCUUUUUCUUCUCCUUGAUCUUCACUUUUGAAGUCACAAAGCACUACAUCUUGGCAUGUAAAAAGAGGAUGCCCAACUCUUAGGCAUGGAAGAGAAGAGAGGGAGCAGAGGAGGCAUAGAGAAAGGAGAGAGAGAGAUUUUUCACCAAAAAUAAUAAGCUAAAAACCUUAGAGACAUGCCCUUUAUAUAGUCACUACCUUGAUACAUAAUAGGAACCCAAUUAUCUUAAAAAGAUAGAUCCUUACCUCAUAAGAAUCUUCUAUCUUUUUAAUCUGAUUUAUUCUAAUUAAAAUCAGAUAUAAAUGGUAUAUGAUCAGCCCCUUUAAGUAGGUACAAAAGGCGCCCAUCUAAAAUAUCCACAAAGAGAUUUCUUGCCAAAUAAGAGAGGGGCGUGGCCCCACUCUCUCUCCCCCACACCAUGCCACAUAAGAGGGGGUGGGCUCCUCUAGGAUUUGGCACCCAAUUCCUACCAAA